GGGGCCGUAGCUCAGACGGGAGAGCGUCGCGUUCGCAAUGCGAAGGUCGGGAGUUCAAUCCUCCUCGGCUCCACCA
This 76-nucleotide transfer RNA is filed under the name Candidatus Endolissoclinum faulkneri L2. Its description in RNAcentral is "tRNA-Ala (CGC) (tRNA-Ala-CGC-1-1)". It matches the Rfam family "tRNA". From Rfam's summary of the family: Transfer RNA (tRNA) molecules are approximately 80 nucleotides in length. Their secondary structure includes four short double-helical elements and three loops (D, anti-codon, and T loops). The record is from RNAcentral. Lineage: Bacteria; Pseudomonadati; Pseudomonadota; Alphaproteobacteria; Rhodospirillales; Rhodospirillaceae.